GACGAGGUGGCCGAGAGGUUAAGGCGAAGGACUGCUAAUCCAUUGUGCUCUGCACGCGUGUGUCCGAAUCCCAUCCUCGUUG
Molecule: transfer RNA, 82 nt
Filed under: Danionella translucida
Lineage: Eukaryota; Metazoa; Chordata; Actinopteri; Cypriniformes; Danionidae
Also listed under: 1 other name
Rfam family: tRNA
About the family: Transfer RNA (tRNA) molecules are approximately 80 nucleotides in length. Their secondary structure includes four short double-helical elements and three loops (D, anti-codon, and T loops). Further hydrogen bonds mediate the characteristic L-shaped molecular structure. tRNAs have two regions of fundamental functional importance: the anti-codon, which is responsible for specific mRNA codon recognition, and the 3' end, to which the tRNAs corresponding amino acid is attached (by aminoacyl-tRNA synthetases). tRNAs cope with the degeneracy of the genetic code in two manners: having more than one tRNA (with a specific anti-codon) for a particular amino acid; and 'wobble' base-pairing, i.e. permitting non-standard base-pairing at the 3rd anti-codon position.
Source: Rfam by way of RNAcentral